UCUCAGGGGAGGAAGGGCAGCUCUAAUUGGUUUCUCAAUGAAAGAUAAUCACCUAUUCCCCGGAGAGCCUAGGGCUUAGCACUCUGUUCUCCACUCAUCCUCCCUUCGGUGCUUUUAGUCCAUUCAGCAGAAGUGGAUCGAAGCAAGCGGCUCCUCACCCCGCAUUAGGGCCAGCGCGCCGCUGCGCUCGGUGCUUAGCGCCCCAUCCACUGACUCCCUCCGCGCUCGCCUCGUCCGCCUGUCGUCCCAGCCGCCGCCGCCGCCGCCGCCGAAAAAGUUUCGCGGAGGGGCUCAGGGAAAAAUGAGCGAGCUGGAGGAAGACUUUGCCAAGAUUCUCAUGCUCAAGGAGGAGAGGAUCAAAGAGCUGGAGAAGCGGCUGUCAGAGAAGGAGGAGGAAAUCCAGGAGCUGAAGAGGAAGCUGCACAAAUGCCAGUCGGUGCUGCCGGUGCCCUCCACCCACAUCGGCCCGCGGACCACCCGGGCGCAGGGCAUCUCCGCCGAGCCGCAGACUUACAGGUCCUUCCACGACCUCCGACAGGCAUUCCGGAAGUUCACCAAAUCUGAAAGGUAGGCGCUGGGCGCCGCUGGCCAGGGCAGCGCCGAGGCCACUGCUCCUGGCCGUGGGCCGGGCGCGGGUCGGGGCUAACGAUGAGGGGCGGGGGGCUGCUCAGCGCAGGGCGCC
This is a non-coding RNA of Castor canadensis (American beaver), 682 nucleotides long. Lineage: Eukaryota; Metazoa; Chordata; Mammalia; Rodentia; Castoridae. The record is from RefSeq and is a predicted model, not a curated record.